AUUGAACGCUGGCGGCAGGCCUAACACAUGCAAGUCGAGCGGAUGAAGGGAGCUUGCUCCUGGAUUCAGCGGCGGACGGGUGAGUAAUGCCUAGGAAUCUGCCUGGUAGUGGGGGAUAACGUCCGGAAACGGGCGCUAAUGCCGCAUACGUCCUGAGGGAGAAAGUGGGGGAUCUUCGGACCUCACGCUAUCAGAUGAGCCUAGGUCGGAUUAGCUAGUUGGUGGGGUAAAGGCCUACCAAGGCGACGAUCCGUAACUGGUCUGAGAGGAUGAUCAGUCACACUGGAACUGAGACACGGUCCAGACUCCUACGGGAGGCAGCAGUGGGGAAUAUUGGACAAUGGGCGAAAGCCUGAUCCAGCCAUGCCGCGUGUGUGAAGAAGGUCUUCGGAUUGUAAAGCACUUUAAGUUGGGAGGAAGGGCAGUAAGUUAAUACCUUGCUGUUUUGACGUUACCAAAAGAAUAAGCACCGGCUAACUUCGU
RNAcentral lists this ribosomal RNA (483 nucleotides) under uncultured bacterium. RNAcentral's name for it is "partial 16S ribosomal RNA". It matches the Rfam family "Bacterial small subunit ribosomal RNA", at positions 30 to 506 of the family's 1533-position model. The record is from RNAcentral.